AACGAGAUCAGAGGUACUUCUCAAAUUGAUCGGAAAGAUCCACAUUCCCAUUAAAACACACACAUACAAACACUAAGAGCUGAAAUCAACAUAAGCAUCUUUAUUCAACACAAUACUUACAAUACUAGAGAAGGGGGGACAGUCGUUAACGGGAACAACACAUUUUUUAUUAGGGUUAUUGGUUACAUUUAAAGAAAUACGCUUUACAUCUAAUCAAAGUUAGGAUGUUAACAAAUACUGUAAAUCAGACAGUGCAAAAGCAAUUUAUUGAUAUUUCCAAAGUUCAAAACUUGAAAUAAAAUUCAGAGUCCUCAAUGACCGAGACAAGACCGAGUACAAAUGCGAUCGAGUCCGAGACGAGACCAAGACCAUCAAAAAGUGGUCUUAAGACCGGUUUCAAGUACUACAACACUAGUGAAAGCCAUCUGUUAUUUUAUACCUUAAAAGAGUCUUAAUUUUUCAUUUGUCAUUUGGUAAAUCAUGUGGGUUCGUUCACCCAUUAAAAAUCUCCUUUCCUUGCAGGAAACCCAAUAAAACUCUAUAUUACAAUACAUUAUGCUCAAUUAAUCCAUUAUUCUUUACACUCUUCCAAAAAGUGCCAUCACAUGAACGAAAACUCAAUAUUUUGCUUCCAGUAAUGAAUCCUUAUGUCACGCAUAAUAUAUAUAAUAUAUAAAUCUCAUAAUGUCUGUCGAUGACUCUCAGGACCUGGUGGGCUUGGAGAAGGACCCCCCUGUCGCCCCCCCAACAGAUACAGUGUCUUCCACGUGAUUGUAGGGAUAAAUCUAAAAAUGUCAUCUCUGUACGGAGAUUUAAAAUAAUAACAAAGGCUUUCUAGAAGCAGGUGUAGAUAAAAGCAACAGACGGACGCUUGGUAAAACUCUUUGUUCUGUCAUCUUCAGUCCGUUUCAUUUCUGUGUGUCCAGGAUGUUUUUAGCCUAGCUUAGCAUAAAGACUGAAAGCAGGGGGAAACUGUUAGCCUAACUCCUUCAAAAACAGAAAAAAAAAAUCCUACUUCAAAACAGCUCAAAUGGUUUGAUUAACGUGUUGCAUGUCAACUACUUGCAUUUGCAUUACAUAUAUUAAGGCAUUUUAAUGUGCUUGGAUUAAGGGUCUUUAAGCACCUCUGAGUUUAUACCUUAAAGUAACUUAAGUUAAUUAAUGUUGGCUUUGUUACAUGGAAAAAGCUACAGGAUUUACCCCAGAUUUGGGUUCAUUAAUAGAAAAUUUUAGAUAUUAUAAUGCUUUUCUGGAUGGAUUAAGACUUCACGCUAAAACCAUCUCUGAAUAUUGACCUUAUUGGAAAAUUAAGGCUCUUUGAAGGUUUAAAAUAACAGAUGGCUUUCAUUAUAUUUGGGAAAUCUUGAGGGGUUUUUGCCCGUCAAGAGAAAUCACCUUUCCAUGCAGGAGACCCAAUAAAAUUAUGUAUUACCACUCAUUAUGCUUAAUUAAUCCAUAAAAACACCAAAAUCAGAUCAUUAUUAAUGGAUAAAUUAGUUUUAAAGAUUUAAAAAAGAUAAUGUCAUACUAAGGAUUUCAAAGAAGAUAUUUUGGGGCUAAAACACAUAUAUUUUAUAAAUUUAACUAUUUAUGUAAAAUUUCUGUCUGCUUACAUGAAGAAAUCAGUGUUAGUAGUAUUCAUAUAGUUUAGAAUAUGAGUUAGAAUGCUAAGCUAACAGACUUAAUUUACAUUAUCAGCAAAACAUUUAGUAAUUUGAAGUAUGUUGUUUGUUAAUUUAAAAUCUUUAUUAAACAGCAUUUAUCAAGCGUUUUGUUUUUGUUUUUUGCUAUACACUCUAAACGGCUCAGAUAUUAGCAUGCUAAUGUUCACUUUGUCAGUUAGCUACACAAACAGUUGCGGGUACCUUGCAGUUAGCAGGUGUAAAUAUUUACUAACAGCGUGAGCUCCAUCUACGUCUAAGGUGCAACCUGUUUAGAUACAGUGAUGCGUUUAACUGAACUUUAGCACAAGGUUUGAACUCAUGAAAAGCUCCUAAUUUUUAGCUAGUGCUUUAGCGGUCUCUCGUGCUUGUUUCUCCCUUCUUGUAGAACAAAAGAUGAUUACAGCUCUCAGUUUAAUCUCCGAGUUGCAUUUAACUUAUGUUGCUUACAGAUGUUAAUAGCUAACCUAAAAAGACUUGAGAAGGAGUUCAGAAUUGAUUGAAAUGCUAACAAACCCCUGCCUCAGUUUAGACAGAGCAAGAGGAUUUACCAAAACGUCAGACUGUUGCUUUCAAUCCUAAAUUUUGCAACGUGAAGGUAGUUGUGCAGAGUUUUGCUAACUUUCAGUAUGAUGCAGCAGUACUCUGUUCAGAUAUUUAGAUGUGUAACUGAACUAUUUAGCAUCAGCUAUAGAUGUCUGUGUCAACAACGAAGGGAGAUGUUCAGAGAUGAGCUUCAGUCUCAGAAGGACCCUGUACUUCAUACAUAUCAAUCAAGUGCAAAAUACUUUAUUGAGCUUUUUACGUCAUAAUUACUGUCUUAAUUUUUGGUACUUAUUUUUAGAUGUCAGAGUAGAUGAACUGUAAUUUAUUUUUUUUGAUCUCGCUGGAAAUUAACAAUGUAAUUGUUUGUUUUAUUAUUUUGCGCACUAAUGUGUUUUACCAAUGUCUGAAUGUUUUACUGCACCGUCAGAAAUCACAAUAGAAACCCCGCAGCUUUGGUUUGCCUUCACACAGGACUCAUUCAGAGUCGCUGCCAAAAAACCAGCCGGGGUUGCACUUUAUGUAACAUCAUAUCUUGAUUUUAAUUUCUAUAAGAAGUUUCCUGGAAAGAACUAUGGUACUAUUUAUAGAGAAAAUAGAGAUGAUGUUGGGUUGAAUCUUUUAAUCGGAGCACAAUAAAUGGACAUUCCUGUGGAAACUGCUUCAACUGCUACUUCCUAGAAAAUAAAAUUAUGAGGACAUAAAGUUGCAAAGUGGGAAGAGUUAUUUCAUGUGCCCCUGGUUCCCUUUUCAUAUUCCCCAUAUACAAAAUUGGAGCACUUCUCUAUUGCUUGGAUUGGCUUUAACCCCUUUAAAUAAUUAGUACAAAUGAUUAAGAACUGUACCUUCUUUUUUUUCCCAACUCAAUAUACGUUGACCUUCUGUGUGAAAUUGCAGGAAGUCAAAAAUGUUUCUCCAAAUCUAGCUAACACCAACAUAUAGGCCUAUUAAGGAACCGGUAAAGAGCCUAAGUCCCUUAAUCGCUUCCACUUCCGCCCAAUGGGACUUUAUUUUGGAAAAAAUAUGCACGAUAGUCAACGGCGAGAUACAACUAAUGUUUUGAUACCGUUUAAUUGUGCCCUGAAUUACACACGUUUGUCUGUUUAAAAUAAUUUUGCCGUCAACAAAGUCAUAAAACCGUAAAGUAACAUUUAGUUUUGUUUGAAAUGGCUCAAUAAACUAAAUCUCUCGUCUCGCACGUUAGCGCUGUAAUGCUAAGCUAACGUUCACUGCUUGCUCGCUAGUAGCUAGGUAGCUUAGUUAAGUUCCACGCACAGAUGCAUCUCACCUGAUGUGUUUAAUCCAACAACUCCUGGUUCUGUUUCGUAUAGGCUUUGCCCUCUGAGGCCAUCGCUAUUGGGCGCUAUUGACCCCCUACGUGCCUGCGCGGCACUGAUGAUGAAAUUUUGUCUACGCCCACCCACAACGCGGGCCUCUCCUACAUCUGCACCUUGUACAUAUAUACAACACUGAGCUGUCUAAAGAGCAGAAGAUUUCCAGCCGGGAAACAAGAAGAACGAUGUCUACCAGCAAGCUGGCCAGAACGGGGCGAGACGCCGCUACACCCGGACAGGUGUGCGGCGUCUGCCACACGGGCUACAUCGUGCUGGGUGAUCUCUAGUGAUGGGGAGAUGAAGCUUCAUGAAGCACUGAAGCUUUGCAUCCAGUUGGUAGCUUAAGGGUGCGUCAUUUGCUCUAGUGCGCCAUCAAGUGGACAUUAAAUGUAAAACAGGCAGAGUGAGUAUAAUGGCACCACGGCUUUGGCGUGUGAGGCUUUGAAGUGACUAAUGAAUGACGUUCGCUCUGGCGUUUAUGCAGAGGAACAAGUACAAUGUUCCCGAGACCUGAAUAUCAUUGAAAAUCUGUGGGGUGAUUUGAAGCGGGCUGUCCGCGCUCAGCAACCGUCAAACCUAACUGAACUGGAGAUGUUUUGCAAGGAGGAAAGGUCCAAAAUACCUUCAUCCAGAAUCCAGACACUCAUCACAGGCUAUAGGAAGCGUCUAGAGGCCGUUAUUUCUGCCAAAAGAGGCUCAACUAAAUAUUGAUGUGAUAUUGCUGUUGAGGUGCCCAAAUUUAUGCACCUGUCUACUUUCGUUUUGAUGCAUAUUGCACAUUUUCUGUUCUCAUCCAAUAAAACUCAUUUCACUACUGAAA
Molecule: long non-coding RNA, 4358 nt
Organism: Micropterus dolomieu (smallmouth bass)
Lineage: Eukaryota; Metazoa; Chordata; Actinopteri; Centrarchiformes; Centrarchidae
Exons: 2
Source: RefSeq, a predicted model, not a curated record